This 202-nucleotide long non-coding RNA is filed under the name Citrus sinensis (sweet orange). Its description in RNAcentral is "long non-coding RNA (CSIN_LNC003592)". Lineage: Eukaryota; Viridiplantae; Streptophyta; Magnoliopsida; Sapindales; Rutaceae. The record is from RNAcentral.
CCCAGAACAGAACCUAAAAAUUUGUCGAAUCCUAAAACAAAGCGCUCGGAUCAGAGAGAUUGCAUCCAGAGCAGAAGUUUAAGACCCAUUUAAAAUUUUUAUUUUCUGUGCUUCGCCACCUUCAUCCUUUAAAGAGACAAAUGCCGAGACCAGACUUUGGCGCACAGCCAUGAGAUACCUCAGAGCGAAGAGUGAAGUCGCU